GUGGGGAAUUUUGGACAAUGGGCGCAAGCCUGAUCCAGCAAUGCCGCGUGCAGGAAGAAGGCCUUCGGGUUGUAAACCGCUUUUGUCAGGGAAGAAAUCCUUUGGGUUAAUACCUCGGAGGGAUGACGGUACCUGAAGAAUAAGCACCGGCUAACUACGUGCCAGCAGCCGCGGUAAUACGUAGGGUGCGAGCGUUAAUCGGAAUUACUGGGCGUAAAGCGUGCGCAGGCGGUUUUGUAAGAUCGAUGUGAAAUCCCCGGGCUCAACCUGGGAACUGCAUUGGUGACUGCAAGGCUGGAGUGCGGCAGAGGGGGAUGGAAUUCCGCGUGUAGCAGUGAAAUGCGUAGAUAUGCGGAGGAACACCGAUGGCGAAGGCAAUCCCCUGGGCCUGCACUGACGCUCAUGCACGAAAGCGUGGGGAGCAAACAGGAUUAGAAACCCUGGUAGUCC
Molecule: ribosomal RNA, 450 nt
Filed under: uncultured bacterium
Lineage: Bacteria
Description: partial 16S ribosomal RNA
Rfam family: Bacterial small subunit ribosomal RNA
Source: RNAcentral